RNAcentral lists this ribosomal RNA (476 nucleotides) under uncultured bacterium. RNAcentral's name for it is "bacterial SSU rRNA". It matches the Rfam family "Bacterial small subunit ribosomal RNA", at positions 328 to 793 of the family's 1533-position model. The record is from RNAcentral.
GCCGAGCACUCCUACGGGAGGCAGCAGUGGGGAAUAUUGCACAAUGGGCGCAAGCCUGAUGCAGCCAUGCCGCGUGUAUGAAGAAGGCCUUCGGGUUGUAAAGUACUUUCAGCAGUGAGGAAGGUGGAUAUGUUAAUAGCAUAUUCAUUUGACGUUAGCUGCAGAAGAAGCACCGGCUAACUCCGUGCCAGCAGCCGCGGUAAUACGGAGGGUGCGAGCGUUAAUCGGAAUUACUGGGCGUAAAAGCGCAUGCAGGUGGUUUGUUAAGUCAGAUGUGAAAGCCCGGGGCUCAACCUCGGGAAUUGCAUUUGAAAACUGGCAAACUAGAGUACUGUAGAGGGGGGUAGAAUUUCAGGUGUAGCGGUGAAAUGCGUAGAGAUCUGAAGGAAUACCGGUGGCGAAGGCGGCCCCCUGGACAGAUACUGACACUCAGAUGCGAAAGCGUGGGGAGCAAACAGGAUUAGAUACCCUGGUAG